Long non-coding RNA from Peromyscus leucopus (white-footed mouse), 407 nucleotides. RefSeq lists it as uncharacterized. The transcript is spliced from 2 exons. The record is from RefSeq and is a predicted model, not a curated record. Lineage: Eukaryota; Metazoa; Chordata; Mammalia; Rodentia; Cricetidae.
UGGUCAAAUAACCUUCCUUUGUGGUUCACAGGUCACUGGAUCACCAGAAGGCCUGAUGGAGAGAACAGGAUCAUUGGUGAUCUGCUUUGAGCUGGGUGUGCUGUGUAGAGGAAACUGAAACAGAGUUGUGAGAAGCCAAGAAGAGGAAUGCAAAAGAAGCUGCCUGGACUUCCCAGGGCCCAAGAAGACAGGGAAGAUCUCAAUGAAGCUGAUGACAUAGAUGAGGAAUAUGGAGAUGACAAAGACGGUGAUAAUCAUGUUUCCACACAGUCCUUGGUGCCUGACUGAUUAGAUACAGAUUUCCUCAAUGGAGUCAACGAUCAUAUUCUUUGUUUUACACAGAUAACUUGGACAAGAAGCCCAGCUCUCUACAAUGAAAUUCAGCUACAAUUCAGCUGCAAAGUGGG